GGUAGCGAAAUUCCUUGUCGGGUAAGUUCCGACCUGCACGAAUGGCGUAACGACUUCUCCGCUGUCUCGACCGUGAUCUCGGUGAAAUUGCAGUACGAGUAAAGAUGCUCGUUUCGCGCAGCAGGACGGAAAGACCCCGGGACCUUUACUAUAGCUUGGUAUUGGUGUGUGUUUGUGCUUGUGUAGGAUAGGUGGGAGACUGUGAUGCCGUGCCGCUAGGUGUGGUGGAGUCGUUGGUGAAAUACCAUUCUGGUUCAAGUAUGCAUCUAACUUGGAGCCCUGAUCGGGUUUGGGGACAGUGCCUGGUGGGUAGUUUAACUGGGGCGGUUGCCUCCUAAAGGGUAACGGAGGCGCUCAAAGGUUCUCUCAGCCUGGUUGGUGAUCAGGUGGUGAGUGUAAGUGCACAAGAGGGCUUGACUGUGACACUGACGGGUGGAGCAGGUACGAAAGUAGGAACUAGUGAUCCGGCCAUGGCUUGUGGAAGCGUGGUCGCUCAACGGAUAAAAGGUACCCCGGGGAUAACAGGCUGAUCUUGCCCAAGAGUCCAUAUCGACGGCAUGGUUUGGCACCUCGAUGUCGGCUCGUCGCAUCCUGGGGCUGGAGUUGGUCCCAAGGGUUGGGCUGUUCGCCCAUUAAAGCGGUACGCGAGCUGGGUUUAGAACGUCGUGAGACAGUUCGGUCCCUAUCCGCUGCGCGCGUUGGAAACUUGAUGAAGGCCCGUCCCUAGUACGAGAGGACCGGGAUGGACGAACCUCUGGUGUGCCAGUUGUACUGCCAGGUGCAUUGCUGGUUGGCUACGUUCGGUUGGGAUAACCGCUGAAAGCAUCUAAGCGGGAAGCUUUCUUCGAGAUGAGGUUUCCGUGCCCCCGUUGUGGGGGUGGGAGGUCCCCAGUAGAUGACUGGGUUGAUAGGCCAGAGGUGGAAGCAUUGUGAGGUGUUGUGAGCCGACUGGUACUAAUGGGCCGAUUCUAAACCAA
RNAcentral lists this ribosomal RNA (977 nucleotides) under human gut metagenome. RNAcentral describes it as "bacterial LSU rRNA". It matches the Rfam family "Bacterial large subunit ribosomal RNA", at positions 1955 to 2925 of the family's 2925-position model. The record is from RNAcentral.